RNAcentral lists this ribosomal RNA (384 nucleotides) under Thalassionema sp. RNAcentral's name for it is "partial small subunit ribosomal RNA". It matches the Rfam family "Eukaryotic small subunit ribosomal RNA", at positions 587 to 975 of the family's 1831-position model. The record is from RNAcentral. Lineage: Eukaryota; Bacillariophyta; Fragilariophyceae; Thalassionematales; Thalassionemataceae.
AGCUCCAAUAGCGUAUAUUAAAGUUGUUGCAGUUAAAAAGCUCGUAGUUGGAUUUGUGGAUUUCGCGGUUCGGUCGCACUAAUUGUGUGUACAUGAGUCGUGAGUCCAUCCUUGGGUGGAAUCUGUGUGGCAUUAGGUUGUCGUGCAGGGGAUGCCCAUCGUUUACUGUGAAAAAAUUAGAGUGUUCAAAGCAGGCUUAUGCCGUUGAAUAUAUUAGCAUGGAAUAAUAAGAUAGGACCUUGGUACUAUUUUGUUGGUUUGCGCACCAAGGUAAUGAUUAAUAGGGACAGUUGGGGGUAUUCGUAUUCCAUUGUCAGAGGUGAAAUUCUUGGAUUUUUGGAAGACGAACUACUGCGAAAGCAUUUACCAAGGAUGUUUUCAUUA